RNAcentral lists this ribosomal RNA (468 nucleotides) under uncultured bacterium. RNAcentral's name for it is "partial 16S ribosomal RNA". It matches the Rfam family "Bacterial small subunit ribosomal RNA", at positions 28 to 507 of the family's 1533-position model. The record is from RNAcentral.
GACGAACGCUGGCGGCGUGCUUAACACAUGCAAGUCGAACGGUGAAGCUCCAGCUUGCUGGAGUGGAUCAGUGGCGAACGGGUGAGUAACACGUGAGCAACCUGCCCCUGACUCUGGAAUAAGCGCUGGAAACGGCUUCUAAUACUGGAUACGAGAAGGGUCCGCAUGGGCACUUUCUGGAAAGUUUUUCGGUUGGGGAUGGGCUCGCGGCCUAUCAGCUUGUUGGUGAGGUAAUGGCUCACCAAGGCGACGACGGGUAGCCGGCCUGAGAGGGCGACCGGCCACACUGGGACUGAGACACGGCCCAGACUCCUACGGGAGGCAGCAGUGGGGAAUAUUGCACAAUGGGCGAAAGCCUGAUGCAGCGACGCCGCGUGAGGGAUGACGGCCUUCGGGUUGUAAACCUCUUUCAGCAGGGAAGAAGCGAAAGUGACGGUACCUGCAGAAGAAGCACCGGCUAACUACGUG